This 494-nucleotide ribosomal RNA is filed under the name uncultured bacterium. Its description in RNAcentral is "partial 16S ribosomal RNA". It matches the Rfam family "Bacterial small subunit ribosomal RNA", at positions 28 to 507 of the family's 1533-position model. The record is from RNAcentral.
GACGAACGCUGGCGGCGUGCUUAACACAUGCAAGUCGAACGGUGAAGCGCCUUCCUUUUUGGUGGGUGUGGAUGAGUGGCGAACGGGUGAGUAACACGUGAGUAACCUGCCCCCUUCUUCUGGAUAACCGCAUGAAAGUGUGGCUAAUACGGGAUAUUCUGGGUCUGUCGCAUGAUGGGUCUGGGAAAGAUAUUGUUUCGGUGGGGGAUGGGCUCGCGGCCUAUUAGCUUGUUGGUGGGGUGAUGGCCUACCAAGGCGGUGACGGGUAGCCGGCCUGAGAGGGUGGACGGUCACACUGGGACUGAGACACGGCCCAGACUCCUACGGGAGGCAGCAGUGGGGAAUAUUGCACAAUGGGCGCAAGCCUGAUGCAGCGACGCCGCGUGAGGGAUGGAGGCCUGCGGGUUGUGAACCUCUUUCGCCAGUGAAGCAGGCCUGCCUCGUUUGUGGGUGGGUUGACGGUAGCUGGAUAAGAAGCGCCGGCUAACUACGUG